RNAcentral lists this ribosomal RNA (252 nucleotides) under uncultured bacterium. RNAcentral describes it as "partial 16S ribosomal RNA". It matches the Rfam family "Bacterial small subunit ribosomal RNA", at positions 524 to 776 of the family's 1533-position model. The record is from RNAcentral.
UACGUAGGUGACCAGCGUUGUCCGGAUUUACUGGGCGUAAAGAGCGCGCAGGCGGUCGUUCAAGUCGAGUGUGAAAGCCCCCGGCUCAACUGGGGAGGGUCAUUCGAUACUGAUCGACUUGAAGGCAGGAGAGGGAAGCGGAAUUCCCGGUGUAGUGGUGAAAUGCGUAGAUAUCGGGAGGAACACCAGUGGCGAGGCGGCUUCCUGGCCUGUUCUUGACGCUGAGGCGCGAAAGCUAGGGGAGCAAACGGG